UUGAUCCUGGCUCAGGAUGAACGCUGGCGGUCUGCUUAACACAUGCAAGUCGAACGGAAUCCUUAGGGAUUUAGUGGCGGACGGGUGAGUAACACGUAAGAACCUGCCUCUAGGACGGGGACAACAGUUGGAAACGACUGCUAAACCCGGAUGAGCCGAAAGGUAAAAGAUUAAUCGCCUAGAGAGGGGCUUGCGUCUGAUUAGCUAGUUGGUGAGGUAAGAGCCCACCAAGGCGACGAUCAGUAGCUGGUCUGAGAGGAUGAUCAGCCACACUGGGACUGAGACACGGCCCAGACUCCUACGGGAGGCAGCAGUGGGGAAUUUUCCGCAAUGGGCGAAAGCCUGACGGAGCAAGACCGCGUGGGGGAGGAAGGUUCUUGGAUUGUCAACCCCUUUUCUCAGGGAAGAACACAAUGACGGUACCUGAGGAAAAAGCAUCGGCUAACUCCGUGCCAGCAGCCGCGGUAAUACGGGGGAUGCAAGCGUUAUCCGGAAUGAUUGGGCGUAAAGAGUCCGUAGGUAGUCAUCCAAGUCUGCUGUUAAAGAGCGAGGCUUAACCUCGUAAAGGCAGUGGAAACUGGAAGACUAGAGUGUAGUAGGGGCAGAGGGAAUUCCUGGUGUAGCGGUGAAAUGCGUAGAGAUCAGGAAGAACACCGGUGGCGAAGGCGCUCUGCUGGGCUAUAACUGACACUGAGGGACGAAAGCUAGGGGAGCGAAUGGGAUUAGAUACCCCAGUAGUCCUAGCGGUAAACGAUGGAAACUAGGUGUGGCCUGUAUCGACCCGGGCCGUGCCGAAGCAAACGCGUUAAGUUUCCCGCCUGGGGAGUACGCACGCAAGUGUGAAACUCAAAGGAAUUGACGGGGGCCCGCACAAGCGGUGGAGUAUGUGGUUUAAUUCGAUGCAACGCGAAGAACCUUACCAGGACUUGACAUCUCUGGAAUCUCCUUGAAAGGGGAAAGUGCCGUAAGGAACCGGAAGACAGGUGCUGCAUGGCUGUCGUCAGCUCGUGUCGUGAGAUGUUGGGUUAAGUCCCGCAACGAGCGCAACCCUCGUCGUUAGUUGCCAUCAUUAAGUUGGGAACUCUAGCGAGACUGCCGGUGACAAACCGGAGGAAGGUGAGGAUGACGUCAAGUCAGCAUGGCCCUUACGUCCUGGGCGACACACGUACUACAAUGCGAGGGACACAGAGCAGCCAACCCGCGAGGGAGAGCGAAUCUCACAAACCCUGGCACAGUUCAGAUUGCAGGCUGCAACUCGCCUGCAUGAAGGAGGAAUCGCUAGUAAUCGCAGGUCAGCAUACUGCGGUGAAUCCGUUCCCGGGCCUUGUACACACCGCCCGUCACACCAUGGAAGUGAGCCACGCCCGAAGUCAUUACUCUAACCCUUUCGGGGGAGGAGGGUGCCGAAGGCGGGGUUGAUGACUGGGGUGAAGUCGUAACAAGGUAGCCGUA
This 1452-nucleotide ribosomal RNA is filed under the name Planktothrix agardhii CHAB643. RNAcentral describes it as "bacterial SSU rRNA". It matches the Rfam family "Bacterial small subunit ribosomal RNA". The record is from RNAcentral. Lineage: Bacteria; Bacillati; Cyanobacteriota; Cyanophyceae; Oscillatoriales; Microcoleaceae.